This 272-nucleotide ribosomal RNA is filed under the name uncultured Veillonellaceae bacterium. RNAcentral's name for it is "partial 16S ribosomal RNA". The record is from RNAcentral. Lineage: Bacteria; Bacillati; Bacillota; Negativicutes; Veillonellales; Veillonellaceae.
GGAGUCUGGACCGUGUCUCAGUUCCAAUGUGACCGUUCAUCCUCUCAGACCGGUUACCGAUCGUCGGCUUGGUAGGCCGUUACCUUACCAACUACCUAAUCGGACGCAAACCCCUCUCAAAGCGAUAAAUCUUUAAUACAAUCACCAUGCGAUGACUGUACAACAUUCGGUAUUAGCAAAUCUUUCGACUUGUUGUCCCCAUCUUUGAGGCAGGUUAUUUGCGCUUUACUCACCCGUUCGCCACUAGGACCGAAAGUCCCCGUUCGACUUGC